AAAAAAAGCAAGAAGAGCUAAGGUUGGGAGAAGGAAGAAGAAAGGCAAGAGAGGUGAUAAAAGCCAAAGAGAGAGUCUUGGCAAGUGGAAGUAUUGAAAUUUCAAGAAAAGAGGUGGAGAAUCAUCUAAAGGAAAAGGAGUUUUGCAAGGUUGAAGGUAUUGAAGAAAGUAGAAAUGCAUGUGAAGUGUAUGUAUUUUGUGGGUUUAGUGAGAAAUGUUGUAUUUAUUUUGUUAAAUAUGUAAUAAAU
Molecule: long non-coding RNA, 248 nt
Organism: Diospyros lotus (date-plum)
Lineage: Eukaryota; Viridiplantae; Streptophyta; Magnoliopsida; Ericales; Ebenaceae
Exons: 3
Source: RefSeq, a predicted model, not a curated record